This is a long non-coding RNA of Cyprinus carpio (common carp), 1210 nucleotides long. Lineage: Eukaryota; Metazoa; Chordata; Actinopteri; Cypriniformes; Cyprinidae. The record is from Ensembl.
AUGCUCCCAGCUUCAGUGCUGACGGUAAUAAGCAGGUGUGUGUGUGUGUGUGUUUCUGCGGCGUCUGACACUCUCGAGCAUGAGUUGUGCUCCACUGAUAUGAAACGAGACUUCUUCUGCCACAGACUGCCACCGUUACUGCUGGAGCAGGCCGAACUCGAACCUGGUGAGUCUCACGGGCCUGCCGUCGCGUGUUUGACGCACCGCUGAUGUCUGUGACCAACGGGUUUCUCUUUAGCUGAGAGACCGCCGUCGCUGCCAGACACCGUGUGUCUCCGGUUCAAACGGUGGAGCCCGAGACAACACACACAACCAAUCAAAAUUCUGGAAUAAUUAACAUACGUAAUGUUUCCGAAAGAGUCUCAUCUGCUCACCAGUGCUGCAUUUAUUUGAACAAAAUACAGUAAAAAUUGUGAAAUAGUUUUGUAAUGUAAAACAGCUGUUUUCUGUGUGAAUCUCUGUUAAACUGUAAUUUAAUUCUGUGAUGUGCAGCUGUAUUUUCAGCAUCAUUACUCCAGUCUUCAGUGUCAAGUCAAGUCACCUUUAUUUAUAUAGCGCUUUAAAACAGAUUGUCAAAGCAACUGAACAACAUUUAUUAGGAAAACAGUGUCAAUAAUGCAAAAUGACAGUUAAAGGCAGUUCAUCAUUGAAUUCAGUGAUGUCAUCAUGCAGCUCAGUUCAGUUUAAAUAGUAUCUGUGCAAUAAUUUGCAAUCAAGUCAAUGAUAUCACUGUAAAUGAAGUGUCCCCAACUAAGCAAGCCAGAGGCGACAGCGGCAAGGAACCAAAACUCCAUCAGUGACAGAAUGGAGAAAAAACCUUGGGAGAAACCAGGCUCAGUCGGGGGGUCAGUUCUCCUCUGACCAGACGAAACCAGCAGUUCAAUUCCAGGCUGCAGCAAAGUCAGGUUGUGCAGAAGAAUCAUCUGUUUCCUGUGGUCUUGUCCCGGUGGUCGUCUGAGACAAGGUCUUUACAGGGGAUCUGACUCUGGGGCUCUAGUUGUCCUGGUCUCCGCUGUCUUUCAGGAAUGUAGAGGUCCUUUCUAGGUGCUGAUCCACCAUCUGGUCUGGAUACAUACUGGAUCCGGGUGACUGCAGUGACCCUCUGACUUGGAUACAGACUGGAUCUGGUGGCUACGGUGACCUCGGAAUAAGAGAGAAACAGACUAAUAUUAGCGUAGAUGCCAUUCUUCUAACGAUGUAGCAAGUACAU